GGUGAGGUAACGGCUCACCAAGCCUACGACGGGUAGCCGGCCUGAGAGGGUGACCGGCCACACUGGGACUGAGACACGGCCCAGACUCCUACGGGAGGCAGCAGUGGGGAAUAUUGCACAAUGGGCGCAAGCCUGAUGCAGCAACGCCGCGUGAGGGAUGACGGCCUUCGGGUUGUAAACCUCUUUUAGUAGGGAAGAAGCGAAAGUGACGGUACCUGCAGAAAAAGCACCGGCUAACUACGUGCCAGCAGCCGCGGUAAUACGUAGGGUGCGAGCGUUGUCCGGAAUUAUUGGGCGUAAAGAGCUCGUAGGCGGUCUGUCGCGUCUGCUGUGAAAACCCGAGGCUCAACCUCGGGCCUGCAGUGGGUACGGGCAGACUAGAGUGCGGUAGGGGAGAAUGGAAUUCCUGGUGUAGCGGUGGAAUGCGCAGAUAUCAGGAGGAACACCGAUGGCGAAGGCAGUUCUCUGGGCCGUAACUGACGCUGAGGAGCGAAAGCGUGGGGAGCGAACAGGAUUAGAUACCCUGGUAGUCCACGCCGUAAACGUUGGGCGCUAGAUGUGGGGACCAUUCCACGGUUUCCGUGUCGCAGCUAACGCAUUAAGCGCCCCGCCUGGGGAGUACGGCCGCAAGGCUAAAACUCAAAGGAAUUGACGGGGGCCCGCACAAGCGGCGGAGCAUGCGGAUUAAUUCGAUGCAACGCGAAGAACCUUACCAAGGCUUGACAUACACGAGAACGGGCCAGAAAUGGUCAACUCUUUGGACACUCGUGAACAGGUGGUGCAUGGUUGUCGUCAGCUCGUGUCGUGAGAUGUUGGGUUAAGUCCCGCAACGAGCGCAACCCUCGUUCUAUGUUGCCAGCGCGUAAUGGCGGGAACUCAUAGGAGACUGCCGGGGUCAACUCGGAGGAAGGUGGGGAUGACGUCAAAUCAUCAUGCCCCUUAUGUCUUGGGCUUCACGCAUGCUACAAUGGCCGGUACAAAGGGCUGCAAUACCGUAAGGUGGAGCGAAUCCCAAAAAGCCGGUCUCAGUUCGGAUUGAGGUCUGCAACUCGACCUCAUGAAGUCGGAGUCGCUAGUAAUCGCAGAUCAGCAACGCUGCGGUGAAUACGUUCCCGGGCCUUGUACACACCG
RNAcentral lists this ribosomal RNA (1131 nucleotides) under Leifsonia xyli subsp. cynodontis. Its description in RNAcentral is "bacterial SSU rRNA". It matches the Rfam family "Bacterial small subunit ribosomal RNA", at positions 251 to 1392 of the family's 1533-position model. The record is from RNAcentral. Lineage: Bacteria; Bacillati; Actinomycetota; Actinomycetes; Micrococcales; Microbacteriaceae.